GAUGAACGCUGGCGGUGUGCCUAAUACAUGCAAGUCGAGCGAACAGACGAGGAGCUUACUCCUCUGACGUUAGCGGCGGACGGGUGAGUAACACGUGGAUAACCUACCUAUAAGACUGGGAUAACUUCGGGAAACCGGAGCUAAUACCGGAUAACAUGUUGAACCGCAUGGUUCAACAGUGAAAGACGGUCUUGCUGUCACUUAUAGAUGGAUCCGCGUCGCAUUAGCUAGUUGGUAAGGUAACGGCUUACCAAGGCAACGAUGCGUAGCCGACCUGAGAGGGUGAUCGGCCACACUGGAACUGAGACACGGUCCAGACUCCUACAGGAGGCAGCAGUAGGGAAUCUUCCGCAAUGGGCGAAAGCCUGACGGAGCAACGCCGCGUGAGUGAAGAAGGUCUUCGGAUCGUAAAACUCUGUUAUUAGGGAAGAACAAAUGUGUAAGUAACUAUGCACGUCUUGACGGUACCUAAUCAGAAAGCCACGGCUAACUACGUG
This 497-nucleotide ribosomal RNA is filed under the name uncultured bacterium. RNAcentral's name for it is "partial 16S ribosomal RNA". It matches the Rfam family "Bacterial small subunit ribosomal RNA", at positions 28 to 507 of the family's 1533-position model. The record is from RNAcentral.